AUUGUAGGUGUUGGCUCUGCAAUGAAUCCAGACAUUAUGCAAAUAAUGCCCAGCAAGAUUGAAAAAUGAAGAAAGAAUUAUACUUUUAAAUACAUUCCAAAAUAAAGAUUUCUACUCAGUAGAAAAUCCUAGUGAUACAGAAUCACUAUAUUAUCUAUCUACUGAAACUGAAUCUGAAUACUCAGAAACAGAAUCAUCAGAGGAUGAGUAAUAAAAAUAUUACCAACCCUAAUUCUAUCUAUAUUCCUAUAAAAUUAAAAUUUGAAGGAUAUAGAAAGAUUAUUAUCCAUGCUUAUGUUGAUACUGGAGCUUCAGUAUGCACAGCAAGUAAAUGGAUUAUACGAAAAUAAUUUUGGGUAACAUCUGAAAGAAUCUUAAUUUAAGAUAGCAGAUAAAUCUGAAGUAAAAACCUCUAAGGUAGUGAAAGGAUUGAAUAUUGAACUUAAUGGUUACCAUAAAUCCCAAUGAAAAACCUUUUAUUUCAAAAUACCUACAGUAUACCAACUUGAAACUGGUAUUGAUUUUAUGAUUGGAAAUAAUUUUUCCCAAUUAUAUCAUCCAUUCAUUGAAGAAAUUGAAUCUAUUAGAUUUACUCUUAAUAGUAAAAGAUUAUGGAUUCCAAAACAAAGAAAAGCGGUAGCUAUGAAUACUUUGCAAAAAAAAUUCUUGAAUACAAUGAAGAUUGAUAACAAAAAGAAGGAUUCUAAAGAAUGUCAAGGUGAAAAUAUUGCACAAAGAAGGCAUAUUUUUAUCACUAAUAAUGAAAAACAAGAAUUCAAAAUUAACUCUCAUAGAGAGGAAAUUUUAGAACUACUUGAAAAAUGUUGCUCAGAAAAUCCUUUAGAUCUUCAAAAGAAUAAAGGAAAUAUGACAGCAACCAUUGAAUUACUAGAUGAAUUUAAAAUAGCUAUUUUUAGAGCUAAGGCAAUGGCUUAUAGCCCUAAAGAUAGAGAUGAAUUCUCAGUACAAAUAAAAGAAUUGCUUGAAUUACAGGUUAUUAAACCCAGUAAAUCUUAAUUUUCUUCACCAGCCUUUAUGGUAAGAAAAGAAGCAGAAAAGAGACGUGGAAAAACUAGAAUGGUAGUUGACUAUUCUCAACUUAACAAAAUUACUAAGACAGAUGGAUAUUUAAUUCCAAAUAUGCAAAGUCUAUUACAAUUAAUAAAAGGAAAGAAAAUAUUUUCAUCAUUUGAUUGUAAAUCUGGCUUUUAGCAAGUAAUACUUAACCAAGAAGCAAGACAUCUUACAGCAUUUACAAGGACAUUAUCAACGGAAGGUGGUACCAUUUGGGCUAAAACAAGCACCAGGUAUUUUCCAAAGACACAUGAACAAUAUUUUCAGAAAACAUAACAAAUAUUGCUGUGUAUAUAUUGAUGAUAUUUUAGUAUUUUCUCAUACAGAAGAUGAACAUGAAAAGCAUGUAACUAAUGUUUUAAUGGAAGCUUAUAAUACAGGAAUUGUGCUAUCUGAAAAGAAAGCAGAAUUGUUUUAGGAAAAAAUUGGAUACCUUGGGUUAGAUAUAGCAAAUGGCUAUAAACAACUUAGGCCCCAUAUCCUUAUUCAUAUUCAAGAAUUUCUAAACAAAAUUCAAGAUCAAAAACAGUUGAUAAGAUUUCU
This 1617-nucleotide long non-coding RNA is filed under the name Olea europaea subsp. europaea. Lineage: Eukaryota; Viridiplantae; Streptophyta; Magnoliopsida; Lamiales; Oleaceae. The record is from RNAcentral.